This is a long non-coding RNA of Leguminivora glycinivorella, 624 nucleotides long. RefSeq lists it as uncharacterized. The transcript is spliced from 2 exons. The record is from RefSeq and is a predicted model, not a curated record. NCBI's taxonomy places the organism in Eukaryota, Metazoa, Arthropoda, Insecta, Lepidoptera, Tortricidae.
GUCAAUGUCAAAAUAUAAAGGACGACGGCGUACUGUACUGGCGCCAAACAUUUUAGAAUUAAAUAUACUUAAUUACUGGGUUUCUAAUGUAUUAUUAAAUAAUACAUAAUGGAUGUAUCAACCAACAUGACGACAAGUAUUGUCCAAAAGAAGAGAUCCUUUUCAGAUGUCUGAAUGUGCUGAACUGAAAUGAAUCGUGAAACAUGUGAAAAAAAUGUAUUACUUACACAAAACUGCAUCAUCUGAUCUUGUAAAACCAUACUACACUGAAUAAGUUUUUAUCCGUGGCGUUGAAAAAAAUGAUGAAAUCAUGAAAUUAUGGCAUCGGCAGUGUUAUAACGAUUUAAAGAUCAAGAAGACAUAUCAAUGAAGUGUCAGUGAUUGUAUACUUUGAAAUGUUUAAUAAACAUAAUAUAUUAACAAUUUAAAAAUAUGAAUUCAUUUCUAUACCCUCAUAAGGGUUCAUGACAUACUGUCAUAACUUAAUUUUUAACAACUAUAAUGAAUACCAUCAAAAUAUCCUUGUUGGUUAGAUGUUUUAAAAAUAUAUUGUACUCACACACAUUCCACCAGAAACUGACAUGUAAAAUUAUGUUCAUAAUAAUGAAAAUAUCUAUGUGGUGA